This 458-nucleotide long non-coding RNA is filed under the name Vitis vinifera (wine grape). RNAcentral's name for it is "long non-coding RNA (VVIN_LNC000870)". The record is from RNAcentral. Lineage: Eukaryota; Viridiplantae; Streptophyta; Magnoliopsida; Vitales; Vitaceae.
GCCAUUUCUUUGGAAUGUGGUUAACCCGCCCAUAUGCACUCCUUCAGUUGUGUUUAAGUGGAAUUGCUCCAACUGUACAAGGCCUUUACACCAAGUGUACAAUGGUAAUGUACUAAAUGUACAAGGGUGUACAAGGGUGUGUAUCUUAAGGUAUUUCAAGUGAUUUUGAAGAACUUAGUCAUCAACAUUUUCCACUCGUCGUGAACAUUCCUCACACAUAUCGGUUGACAACACACUCCUUCCACGUAUAUUAUUUUAUUUGUACAAUGUUAGUUCAUUGUUUUAGCUCCCCCACAUUACUUAGGCGUAGGAACCGAAAUGAGGGUUAAGUUUUUCCUCCUUUUCCCUUAUCCACGAUAAUGGAAACAUUGUUGCCCCACCCAUAUGCACUUGUUCGGUCGUCCCUUUGGUGGAUUGCAUAACUGUACAAGCCAUUUACACUAACUGUACAAUCCAAA